GUGGGGAAUAUUGCACAAUGGGCGCAAGCCUGAUGCAGCAACGCCGCGUGAGGGAUGACGGCCUUCGGGUUGUAAACCUCUUUUAGUAGGGAAGAAGCGUAAGUGACGGUACCUGCAGAAAAAGCACCGGCUAACUACGUGCCAGCAGCCGCGGUAAUACGUAGGGUGCAAGCGUUGUCCGGAAUUAUUGGGCGUAAAGAGCUCGUAGGCGGCUUGUCGCGUCUGCCGUGAAAACCCAGGGCUCAACUCUGGGCGUGCGGUGGGUACGGGCAGGAUAGAGUGCGGUAGGGGAGAGUGGAAUUCCUGGUGUAGCGGUGGAAUGCGCAGAUAUCAGGAGGAACACCGAUGGCGAAGGCAGAUCUCUGGGCCGUAACUGACGCUGAGGAGCGAAAGCAUGGGGAGCGAACAGGAUUAGAAACCCCAGUAGUCC
RNAcentral lists this ribosomal RNA (430 nucleotides) under uncultured bacterium. Its description in RNAcentral is "partial 16S ribosomal RNA". It matches the Rfam family "Bacterial small subunit ribosomal RNA", at positions 354 to 796 of the family's 1533-position model. The record is from RNAcentral.